Molecule: ribosomal RNA, 320 nt
Filed under: uncultured bacterium
Lineage: Bacteria
Description: bacterial SSU rRNA
Rfam family: Bacterial small subunit ribosomal RNA
Source: RNAcentral
GAUGGACGCUGGCGGCGUGCUUAACACAUGCAAGUCGAGCGAAGCACUCUGAUUUCUUCGGAAUGAUCUUUCUUUGACUGAGUGGCGGACGGGUGAGUAACACGUGAGCAACCUGCCUUUCAGAGCGGGAUAGCAGUUGGAAACGACUGAUAAUACCGCAUGACAUGUUUUCUCCGCAUGAGGAAACAUCAAAUGAUUUUUCGCUGAAAGAUGGGCUCGCGUCCGAUUAGGUAGUUGGUGAGGCAACGGCUCACCAAGCCGACGAUCGGUAGCCGGACUGAGAGGUCGAUCGGCCACAUUGGGACUGAGAUACGGCCCAG